This 501-nucleotide ribosomal RNA is filed under the name uncultured bacterium. Its description in RNAcentral is "partial 16S ribosomal RNA". It matches the Rfam family "Bacterial small subunit ribosomal RNA", at positions 29 to 523 of the family's 1533-position model. The record is from RNAcentral.
AUUGAACGCUGGCGGCAUGCCUUACACAUGCAAGUCGAACGGCAGCACGGGUGCUUGCACCUGGUGGCGAGUGGCGAACGGGUGAGUAAUACAUCGGAACGUACCUUAUCGUGGGGGAUAACGCAGCGAAAGCUGUGCUAAUACCGCAUACGCCCUGAGGGGGAAAGCGGGGGAUCGAAAGACCUCGCGCGAUUAGAGCGGCCGAUGCCUGAUUAGCUUGUUGGUGGGGUAAAAGCCCACCAAGGCGACGAUCAGUAGCUGGUCUGAGAGGACGAUCAGCCACACUGGGACUGAGACACGGCCCGGACGCCUACGGGAGGCAGCAGUGGGGAAUUUUGGACAAUGGGGGCAACCCUGAUCCAGCAAUGCCGCGUGAGUGAAGAAGGCCUUCGGGUUGUAAAGCUCUUUUGUCAGGGAAGAAACACCGGCUCUAACACAGUCCGGGAAUGACGGUACCUGAAGAAUAAGCACCGGCUAACUACGUGCCAGCAGCCGCCGCAG